Long non-coding RNA from Canis lupus familiaris (dog), 1238 nucleotides. RefSeq lists it as uncharacterized. The transcript has 4 exons. The record is from RefSeq and is a predicted model, not a curated record. Lineage: Eukaryota; Metazoa; Chordata; Mammalia; Carnivora; Canidae.
CCAUCUUUUAUGACUUUAACUACAUACAGUAAUAUACUAUGAUUAUAUAUUAAGGAAAAUUGUUAGGAACGAUUGAUGACCCGUUGAAAAUACAGAUAGAUAUCUCUCUCUACCUAUUUGUAGUACUGAAGCAUAACACGCAUUACAAAAAUUGUACGACUCUAGUGCACAACUCCUUUCUUACUGCUAACUUUGUAGGUUUUAAUAUUCUGAAGCUUAUUGCAACUCUCUAAGAGAGAGAUUUUUUAAUAGUCUUUUUUGUUUCAGGAAAAUUGAUUAUCAUUGCAACAUGGGAAUUGUAUUUGCUGUUAUCCCACCUCCUAGAUGUUUUUACUUGGCACCUACUUCCUUUCUGAUGUCUCACUAAAGAAGAUUGUAUCUAGCAAAUUUUUAUUUCAAUAUAGGUUUAUUUCUAAAGAAGAGUUCCCAGAGUGAAUGCAAAAGAAAACUGGAAAAAUUGUUCACUCCAAUUUGUGUACAACAAAUAACUCUACCAGAAGUGGACCCAGCUGUGAUGAAUCUUUUGGAAUUGUUUUCUUGACAGCUACAUCAAGAAGAUUAGUAUCUUCCAUAUUCCUUUUCUAACUUCUUGAGGAACUGGUUCUAUCUUUGAAGAUCGGGAGAGUAGAGGAGUGGUGAAAAGAGGGAGAGCUAAAGAAUGAAGCAAGACAACAAAAAAAUUGGAAUAACCAUACAGUUGACUUCAGUAAAAUAUUCCAGUUAAUUUUACAAAAACUGAUUUUGAUCAAGAUCAUAAUUUACCAUAUGUCACUCGAGUUAAAAUGGAAUAUUUUCCCAAGGAAACUAGUAAAAUCAUGAAGAAUUCAAAAAUCAAUGAACUAUUGGAAGAGAAAGGUCACACUGUUGGAUGUCUGGGAUGCACACGUUAGGGUAGAAAAGAAUGAAGCAGUCACAGAGAGAGAGAGAGAGAGAGGCAGAGACACAGGCAGAGGGAGAAGCAGGCUCCAUGCACCGGGAGCCCGACGUGGGAUUCGAUCCCGAGUCUCCAGGAUCGCGCCCUGGGCCAAAGGCAGGCGCCAAACCACUGCACCACCCAGGGAUCCCCAACACUUAGCUCUUAUGUACAAUCACCAAAAUUGCACACUUCAUAUUUUGUGACCCUUACAUGUGGAUUUAUAUGAAUUUCAUUCUUAACAGAAAAAAAAAAAUUAAAGCACCUCAGAAAUCCUAGUUCAACUGUUGCUCUUACCUCUUUAUAGUACAUACUACCAAAACUC